UCCAUGUAGCGUCUAUAAUCGUCCCGACGCCCAAGUGUGUGUCCAUUUUUAGACACGCUGAAAUCCCAACUUGAGCGCGUUCGUUCCUUCAACAAAUCUGAUCUUCAGUUGGAAAACUUCUGCGAUGCAACAAACUUCUUCGGAAAUUGGACGUGAUCGAGAAAAAGACAGACGUAAUUUGGAACGAUUUCGAGUUACCCUCACUCGAGAAUAGAUGAAUUCUGACACUUCGGGAGAAUUCGGGAAUUGCAGCGCCUUGACUCAGACUCGCAAAUUAUCAGUUUUAUCCCGAAAUGCGACUAUUUUAGUUUUAGUUUUUGUUUUUGGCAUUGGCACCAUUUUUUGAAUAUCACGUAUCAAUUUGGUUUUGGUCAAAUGCAAGGAUAGAUGGCGACAUAGAGCUAGCUGUAGGCAACACAUUCAGCACCUAAUUAAAUAAAGCGACGAUAGAAAAGAGAAAAACAGGAGCAUAUUUUACAAAAUAUGUGACAUUCAAAGCCACUUUUUGCCUUUUAACUCCGACAUUAAUUAGGAAAAUGACUAUUUGCGAUGUUCGUUUUGCGAAGUUUAAUAAUUGAUAAUAAAGUUUUCAUUUUAGACUAAUUGAGCAUAAAAAAAUAAUUAUUUUGUUGCAAGGACCACUUGAAGAAAUAAAUAUCAGUUCCUUUGCCGGUUUAUGCUCUCAAUACUGAAACGAGUAAUUUGCAUGUCUGAUUAUUUGCAAAAUACAUUGAUAACAAACAUUUUCUUGUAGUUAUUUGCGGCAUUUUAAGCCAGACGUUAACAGAACUGAUCCGAGGCCCAAAAUUGACCGUUUUUUUUAUUUAUUAUUAUAGAUAUAAAUCUUAAUGAAUAUCUAGCAAAGAUAUGUAUUCAUCAGUGGUGUAUUUUAAGAAGCUGAGUGUUAAAAAUAGUGCCCCAGAUAACUUAUUUUUAUCGAACUGAACUUCGUGUAUCCACGCAAAGAUUGAGUUUAUUCCCAUUGCAGAUGAAAUUAUUGUUAUCAUAUUAAUGAGGAGUAGUCUGUACAAUCAUUCUUAUUGAUGGUGCAAAAAUAGCAAAGUAGUCUUUAUGA
Long non-coding RNA from Dendroctonus ponderosae (mountain pine beetle), 1075 nucleotides. RefSeq lists it as uncharacterized. NCBI's taxonomy places the organism in Eukaryota, Metazoa, Arthropoda, Insecta, Coleoptera, Curculionidae. The transcript has 2 exons. The record is from RefSeq and is a predicted model, not a curated record.